Molecule: ribosomal RNA, 874 nt
Filed under: uncultured Pseudomonadales bacterium
Lineage: Bacteria; Pseudomonadati; Pseudomonadota; Gammaproteobacteria; Pseudomonadales
Description: bacterial SSU rRNA
Rfam family: Bacterial small subunit ribosomal RNA
Source: RNAcentral
AUUGAACGCUGGCGGCAGGCCUACCACAUGCAAGUCGAGCGGAUGAAGGGAGCUUGCUCCUGGAUUCAGCGGCGGACGGGUGAGCAAUGCCUAGGAAUCUGCCUGGUAGUGGGGGAUAACGUCCGGAAACGGGCGCUAAUACCGCAUACGUCCUGAGGGAGAAAGUGGGGGAUCUUCGGACCUCACGCUAUCAGAUGAGCCUAGGUCGGAUUAGCUAGUUGGUGGGGUAAAGGCCUACCAAGGCGACGAUCCGUAACUGGUCUGAGAGGAUGAUCAGUCACACUGGAACUGAGACACGGUCCAGACUCCUACGGGAGGCAGCAGUGGGGAAUACUGGACAAUGGGCGAAAGCCUGAUCCAGCCAUGCCGCGUGUGUGAAGAAGGUCUUCGGAUUGUAAAGCACUUUAAGUUGGGAGGAAGGGCAGUAAGUUAAUACCUUGCUGUUUUGACGUUACCAACAGAAUAAGCACCGGCUAACUUCGUGCCAGCAGCCGCGGUAAUACGAAGGGUGCAAGCGUUAAUCGGAAUUACUGGGCGUAAAGCGCGCGUAGGUGGUUCAGCAAGUUGGAUGUGAAAUCCCCGGGCUCAACCUGGGAACUGCAUCCAAAACUACUGAGCUAGAGUACGGUAGAGGGUGGUGGAAUUUCCUGUGUAGCGGCGAAAUGCGUAGAUAUAGGAAGGAACACCAGUGGCGAAGGCGACCACCUGGACUGAUACUGACACUGAGGUGCGAAAGCGUGGGGAGCAAACAGGAUUAGAUACCCUGGUAGUCCACGCCGUAAACGACGUCGACUAGCCGUUGGGAUCCUUGAGAUCUUAGUGGCGCAGCUAACGCGAUAGGUCGACCGCCCUGGGGAGUACGGCCCCAAGGUUA